Manihot esculenta (cassava) is the source of this 885-nucleotide long non-coding RNA. RefSeq lists it as uncharacterized. The record is from RefSeq and is a predicted model, not a curated record. Lineage: Eukaryota; Viridiplantae; Streptophyta; Magnoliopsida; Malpighiales; Euphorbiaceae. The transcript is spliced from 2 exons.
GUGGGUGUCAUUUCUUUUGUCUUCUCCAGUUUUGAAUUUUGCUUUUCACCCAUUGCUCUCAUUUGCAUCGUCUCUACCAUUUUGCCUUCCCUCAUUCUGUUAUCUCGAUCCUUCGGUCAGAGUUCCUAUUGUGCCAAUGGAUAAGAUUAAAUUUUUUUAAAAUUUUAUCUUGUCCAAAGAGAACCUUAAAGAGACUAUGUUAACCUUUCCAACUAAUAAGUCUGUUGCUGAUGUCACCCGAGAGGUCUUCCAUGCUGUGAGUCCAUCAUCAUCCAUCCGACCUUCUACUCACAGCCCUACACCUUCACUAGCCUUGGUCCCGGUUCCAAGAGGCUCUCGUUCUGAUACCUCUAGGAUAUUAGCUCCUUCCAAGAUAUCGGCCACCUCUAAGACACCUGCUGCCCCUAAGAUAGUCCCCAAGGAUCCUAUCAUUGUCAUUGAAUCAAGGGAGGACAAUUCAGUAUUGAAUCUCCAAUUCAGAGUGCUUCUCCUUCUCAAACUGCUGGGGAUAUAGUCAUCAAGGGCCAUGCCACUAAAUGAGCUAGGACCUUUGCAUCUGUAGAGGCUGACCCUCCCCCUUCUGCUAAUAAAGGGAAAAAAGAUUAUAGAGAACCUAUCUUCUGCCUCUAAUAAUGACAUGUUGAAUUCCGUUGAUGUAAUUCUAACUUUUCGAUAGAAUGAAUCUGAAAUCUUAAAAUCAAAAUCUUUAGAAGGGUAAAAUAGGGUUUCUAUAAAUUGAAUUCGAAGCAUUUUAAAAUGUGUUAAAAAAAAUUUUAGAAACCUUUUAAGAUUCGACCACGGAAGUUUGGUUGCCAAAUGAGGCUCCUCCAGCCACCUAUAAAUGGGGCUCUACUAAUGGAAAGAAUUUUCUCUUGUUGGAUGUCA